RNAcentral lists this ribosomal RNA (920 nucleotides) under Allogromiidae sp. NP1. Its description in RNAcentral is "bacterial SSU rRNA". It matches the Rfam family "Eukaryotic small subunit ribosomal RNA", at positions 1176 to 1766 of the family's 1831-position model. The record is from RNAcentral. Lineage: Eukaryota; Foraminifera; Allogromiidae.
GUGGAGCAUGUGGCUUAAUUUGACUCAACGCGGGAAAUCUUACCAGGUCCGAACACGCUGAGGAUUGACAGGUUUUUAUAAGACUAUAUUAUUUAUUUUUUUAAAAUAAAUUUUAUAGCAAUUCUUAUAUCAAAUAUGCUAGUCCUUUCAUGAUUGCGUGAUAGGUGGUGCAUGGCCGUUCUUAGUUCGUGGAGUGAUCUGUCUGCUUAAUUGCGUUUCACAUAAACGGGGAUAUAUUGAAUAUUUUGUUUGCACACAAAGUUGUUGCUUUACUUUUUUUUAAAAGUAUUGCACCUUUGUUGUUGCGCGGUAUUCUUUAACAUAUCCUCAGAAGGCAACGAACGUGACCGCAACAACUUGUUGCAUACUCUUAUUGUAUGGUAACUAGUUGGACCGCUGGCUCUUUUCUAAACAGAGGAAGGUUGCGGCAAUAACAGGUCUGUGAUGCCCUCAGAUGUUCUGGGCUGCACACGUGCUACAAUGAUUAUUGCAGUAAGCAUCUAAUUAGGUUUUUUUAUAAACCGCAGGAAUAAAUUAAAUAUUUAUUUUCGAAUUUAUAUUUAAUCCUGUUUAACCAACUUUGAAAGUAAGUUGGUAAUCAAUUCGAAGUAAUGAUUUCCUUUUGCACAUUUUUAAUAUUUCAUACUGUUAUUAUAUAAUUUUAUUUUCGAAUAAUUUUAUAUUAUUAACAAUGAAAUAUGUGCUCCAUUAUUUCAUGGUGGGGACUGACCAUUGUUAAUUGUUGGUCACGUCUCAACUAGGAAUGCCUUGUACUGGUCUUGGUUCAACAAACCACCAGGAAUAUGUCCCUGCCCUUUGUACACACCGCCCGUCGCUCUUACCGAUGGACUAUUCUGUGAGUAUGCAGGACGGGGUCUCUAUCAUUUAUGGUUGAGACCUAUAAGAAUGUACGCGAACAG